CCACGGAUAGCUCAGCUGGAAGAGCAUCAGACUCAUAAUCUGACUGUCGAAGGUUCGAUUCCUUCUCCAACGGCCU
This 76-nucleotide transfer RNA is filed under the name Mesorhizobium erdmanii. Its description in RNAcentral is "tRNA-Met". The stretch from base 5 to 68 matches the Rfam family "tRNA", at positions 5 to 66 of the family's 71-position model. Rfam says of the family: Transfer RNA (tRNA) molecules are approximately 80 nucleotides in length. Their secondary structure includes four short double-helical elements and three loops (D, anti-codon, and T loops). RNAcentral also lists the same sequence under 1 other name. The record is from RNAcentral. Lineage: Bacteria; Pseudomonadati; Pseudomonadota; Alphaproteobacteria; Hyphomicrobiales; Phyllobacteriaceae.